This 453-nucleotide ribosomal RNA is filed under the name uncultured bacterium. RNAcentral's name for it is "bacterial SSU rRNA". It matches the Rfam family "Bacterial small subunit ribosomal RNA", at positions 28 to 517 of the family's 1533-position model. The record is from RNAcentral.
GAUAAACGCUGGCGGCGUGCCUAACACAUGCAAGUCGAACGCCCUGGAGCAAUUCAGGGAGUGGCGGACGGGUGAGGAACACGUGGGUGAUCUGCCUUGAGGUGAGGAAUACCGGCGAGAAAUCGCCGACAAUACCGCAUAGGUUCGUAAGAACAAAGUCGCAAGACGCCUUGAGAUGAGCCUGCGUCCGAUUAGCCAGUUGGUGGGGUAAUGGCCUACCAAAGCAGCGAUCGGUAGCUGGUCUGAGAGGACGAUCAGCCACACUGGGAUUGAGAACGGCCCAGACUCCUACGGGGGGCAGCAGUGAGGAAUUUUCGUCAAUGGGGGCAACCCUGAACGAGCAACGCCGCGUGCAGGAAGAAGGUCUUCGGAUCGUAAACUGUCUUUUCUGGGGGAAGAGAAGUGGACCGGUACCCCAGGAAGAAGCCCCGGCUAACUACGUGCCAGCCGCCG